AUACGGAGGAUGCAAGCGUUAUCCGGAUUUAUUGGGUUUAAAGGGUGCGUAGGCGGAUGAUUAAGCGUGAGGUGAAAUGCCACUGCUCAACAGUGGAACUGCCUCGCGAACUGGUUGUCUUGAAUGCUCCUGCCGUGGGAGGAAUGUGUGGUGUAGCGGUGAAAUGCAUAGAGAUCACACAGAACACCGAUUGCGAAGGCAUCUCACGAAGGGGUGAUUGACGCUGAGGCACGAAAGCGUGGGGAUCAAACAGGAUUAGAUACCCUGGUAGUCCACGCAGUAAACGUUGAUAACUAACCGCUGGGUCGUAGUGAUUCAGUGGCCAAGCGAAAGCGAUAAGUUAUCCACCUGGGGAGUACGACCGCAAGGUUGAAACUUAAAGGAAUUGACGGGG
This 394-nucleotide ribosomal RNA is filed under the name uncultured bacterium. RNAcentral describes it as "partial 16S ribosomal RNA". It matches the Rfam family "Bacterial small subunit ribosomal RNA", at positions 523 to 918 of the family's 1533-position model. The record is from RNAcentral.